UUAAAUCCAAGGACUUGUCAUCAGAAGACGAAGAUGCGUUUUCGCUCAAGAGCCGGUCUAUCCGUUCAGCUACCGAAGGUGGAAGUCGAAGUAUAAAUUGCUCUUCCAUGCCUGCAUACCCAACCAAAAAAAAGAAGGAAAAAAUCAGCUAUCGCAAUUAUUCGAAUAGCUUAUAUUUGUGGCUCAUUGUUCUUGAUUUCUACCACAGCAAAGAAAAGGAAAAAAAAAAAAAAACAAGAAGAAUUAGUGUAAAAGAACUGGUAUCUGGAUUCAGGCACCCGUUGGUCAGUUACCUGCAGAGAAGGAUGGAGAAGAAAUUUGGAGGAGAGGUAUGAGAAUUUAGAGGAGCAAGUGAAAUUAGUAGUUCGUAUUUCUAAUUUGGAAUAAUAUCAUAAAUCUCCCCUGAGGUUUACCUUAAUAUCACUUAGCACCUCUAUAUGUUUAAAAGUAUCAUUUACCUUUCUUACUUUUAAAGCUGUAAAUGAGUUGAGUCGAAUUGAAUAUCUUAAGUUUGAGCUUUAUUCGUUAAUCUAAGCGGACAAGGCUCAUAUUCAUUCGAUAGCGUCUGAGCUCUAAAUGUAUAUUCGUAUUCGACUCGUUAAGCAAAAUUCUAACUCAAAUUCGAGUUCGAUCUUAACUCAUUUAUUAUAAACGUGCCAUUCGCGAACAAUUAGGCCCAUGUCCGCGGAUGAUUAAGCCUGGAAUUAGGAAUUAGGAAUACAAUAUGAACCAUAAAUUUUGUGAAAUGACAAUUAGACCCAUACUCGUUAGCGAUCAUUUAAAUUAGCGAAAGAAUUCCUGUUGUUUGAUUACUUAUCGAGCCAAAAUAUUUGUUUGAACUCAACUCAUAUAAAAUUUUCGAAUGAGUCAUUAUCGAACGAACAAGUCUAAACGAAUCAAGAACGAGUCGAGCAUCUUAAGGAAAAAAUCAGCUAUCUCAAUUAUUCGAUUAGCCGUUUUUUUUUUUCUCUUUUUGGCUUAUCGCUCUUGAUUUCUAUCAUAGAAAAAGAAAAAGAAAAAAAGAGCAAGAAGAAUUAGAUGUAAAAGAACUGGUAUCUAAAUUCAGGUACCCGUUGGUCAGUUACCUGCAGAGGAGGACGGAGAAGAAAUAUGGAGGUGGUGAAUCAGAAUUUAGAGGCUGCCAAAUUAGUAGUUUGCCUUUUUAAUUCUUUAAUUACAUGAAAUAACCAAACCAAUACUUGGCUAGGGAGAGGGGCAUUGUGGUCCGUGCACCUGUUCUUGAACGAUGGGUCAUUUUGCAUUGUGAUGUAGCACAUUGUAGGUUAUCUCCUUCAAUACAUUAUAAUUCACAGCAAACAAAAUCUACACUUUUAGAGAUGUUAUAUUCAGGUUUUGUUUUUCAUUUUUUUUAAGCGAGAGGACUUACAACCUGCAUGUGCUGGUACGGCUGUUCAGUGUAGUCUUCUUUUGCCUCUCUCACUUCUUCCCUAUGCAAAUGACCGAGAGGAUAGUUCCUCAAGACUUCUUGAAUUCCUCAAGACUUCUAACUUGCAACAUUUGUCAUCUUACCGUUCAGCAGAAAUGCAGAUAGCCAAAUUGCGGAAUAGAGAUGAUUGAGAGCCAUUGUUUGGAUACACAUUCGAAGCUCAGCAGAUCUUUUAUGGGUACCUUUACUAAUAUUUCCUGCAAAACAUCUUCAUUGUUGGUGAGUUCUUCGACUUGUGAACUGGAAUUAGGCAAUUCAUUAAAACCCUUAUCAGAAUAGCAGUCUUUGAGUUCAGGAACAAAAGCUGGAUGUGCUGGGUAGGAGUUGGAAUCAUCAGUAAAUGUAGAUUUUUCACCAGAAUCUGUUUUUUAAAUCAAUUUACAGAUGCACUAUUUGCAUUUUAUUCCUUUUUUUUUUUUGUUUCUAUUUAAGAAUAGAGAUGGUAAAACACAAGUCGCUCACCGAAAAGGUUAAAUCCAAGGACUUGUCAUCAGAAGACGAAGAUGCGUUUUCGCUCAAGAGCCGGUCUAUCCGUUCAGCUACGAAGGUGGAAGUCGAAGUAUAAAUUGCUCUCCAUGCCUGCAUACCCAACCAAAAAAAAGAAGGAAAAAAUCAGCUAUCGCAAUUAUUCGAAUAGCUUAUAUUUGUGGCUCAUUGUUCUUGAUUUCUACCACAGCAAAGAAAAGGAAAAAAAAAAAAACAAGAAGAAUUAGUGUAAAAGAAC
Molecule: long non-coding RNA, 2171 nt
Filed under: Coffea arabica (coffee)
Lineage: Eukaryota; Viridiplantae; Streptophyta; Magnoliopsida; Gentianales; Rubiaceae
Description: long non-coding RNA (CARA_LNC000017)
Source: RNAcentral